RNAcentral lists this ribosomal RNA (601 nucleotides) under uncultured bacterium. RNAcentral's name for it is "bacterial SSU rRNA". It matches the Rfam family "Bacterial small subunit ribosomal RNA", at positions 739 to 1346 of the family's 1533-position model. The record is from RNAcentral.
ACUGACGCUGAGGCUCGAAAGCGUGGGGAGCAAACAGGAUUAGAUACCCCUGGUAGUCCACGCUGUAAACGAUGAUUACUAGGUGUGGGGGGACUGACCCCUUCCGUGCCGCAGUUAACACAAUAAGUAAUCCACCUGGGGAGUACGGCCGCAAGGUUGAAACUCAAAGGAAUUGACGGGGGCCCGCACAAGCAGUGGAGUAUGUGGUUUAAUUCGAAGCAACGCGAAGAACCUUACCAGGUCUUGACAUCGUAUGCAUAACUUAGAGAUAAGUGAAACUCCUUCGGGAGCAUAUAGACAGGUGGUGCAUGGUUGUCGUCAGCUCGUGUCGUGAGAUGUUGGGUUAAGCCCCGCAACGAGCGCAACCCUUACCUUUAGUUGCUACGCAAGAGCACUCUAAAGGGACUGCCGUUGACAAAACGGAGGAAGGUGGGGAUGACGUCAAAUCAUCAUGCCCCUUAUGACCUGGGCUACACACGUACUACAAUGGCAAUCAACAAAGAGAAGCAAGACAGUGAUGUGGAGCGAAUCUCAAAAAAUUGUCCCAGUUCAGAUUGCAGGCUGCAACUCGCCUGCAUGAAGUCGGAAUGCUAGAAUCGCG